AUACGUAGGGUGCGAGCGUUAAUCGGAAGUUACUGGGCGUAAAGCGUGCGCAGGCGGUUUUGUAAGACAGAGGUGAAAUCCCCGGGCUCAACCUGGGAACUGCCUUUGUGACUGCAAGGCUGGAGUGCGGCAGAGGGGGAUGGAAUUCCGCGUGUAGCAGUGAAAUGCGUAGAUAUGCGGAGGAACACCGAUGGCGAAGGCAAUCCCCUGGGCCUGCACUGACGCUCAUGCACGAAAGCGUGGGGAGC
Molecule: ribosomal RNA, 248 nt
Filed under: uncultured bacterium
Lineage: Bacteria
Description: partial 16S ribosomal RNA
Rfam family: Bacterial small subunit ribosomal RNA
Source: RNAcentral